AUUGAACGCUGGCGGCAGGCCUAACACAUGCAAGUCGAGCGGAUGAAGGGAGCUUGCUCCUGGAUUCAGCGGCGGACGGGUGAGUAAUGCCUAGGAAUCUGCCUGGUAGUGGGGGAUAACGUCCGGAAACGGGCGCUAAUACCGCAUCCGUCCUGAGGGAGAAAGCGGGGGCUCUUCGGACAUCACGCUAUCAGAUGAGCCUAGGUCGGAUUAGCUAGUUGGUGGGGUAAAGGCCUACCAAGGCGACGAUCCGUAACUGGUCUGAGAGGAUGAUCAGUCACACUGGAAGUGAGACACGGUCCAGACUCCUACGGGAGGCAGCAGUGGGGAAUAUUGGACAAUGGGCGAAAGCCUGAUCCAGCCAUGCCGCGUGUGUGAAGAAGGUCUUCGGAUUGUAAAGCACUGUAAGUUGGGAGGAAGGGCAGUAAGUUAAUACCUUGCUGUUUUGACGUUACCAACAGAAGAAGCACCGGCUAACUACGUG
Molecule: ribosomal RNA, 484 nt
Filed under: uncultured bacterium
Lineage: Bacteria
Description: partial 16S ribosomal RNA
Rfam family: Bacterial small subunit ribosomal RNA
Source: RNAcentral